UCACCCCUCAAGCCCCGUGCUUGGUGUUGGACGGGUUGGUCGGGGCUUCCCUCGACCCCUCCUAAAGACAAUGACGGCGGCCUGUGGUUCCCCCGGUACACUGAGCUUCUUAACCGAGCACGUACCGGACGAGGGCGCCCAGGCCACGGUCCUCUCCUCUCAGCAGGAAACUUCUCAA
Molecule: unclassified non-coding RNA, 178 nt
Filed under: uncultured Cladophialophora
Lineage: Eukaryota; Fungi; Ascomycota; Eurotiomycetes; Chaetothyriales; Herpotrichiellaceae
Description: sequence contains ITS2
Source: RNAcentral